This 223-nucleotide unclassified non-coding RNA is filed under the name Butyrivibrio sp. INlla14. RNAcentral describes it as "Bacterial large signal recognition particle RNA". The stretch from base 78 to 177 matches the Rfam family "Bacterial small signal recognition particle RNA". The record is from RNAcentral. Lineage: Bacteria; Bacillati; Bacillota; Clostridia; Lachnospirales; Lachnospiraceae.
CUUGAAAUAAUUAUCAAAAACAAGUAUAUUAUUAGAGCGGCUCUGUAAAGGGUGCAUGUAGCAGUCCUCUUGUGUAGACUCGGGUCUUAUGCAAUGGAAAUCUGCGAACCGUGUCAGGUCGGGAACGAAGCAGCACUAAGUGGAACCUUCCAUGUGUUGUAAGGUUGCCUGUUUCUGCCAGGAGUAAACGUACAUGUAUCCUUUACAGAGUCGUUUUUUCCAG